UAAUUGCCUAUAUAUCCCUCAAAACUUCGAAAAUAUUUUAUUUAUUCCUACUUUUUUUUUCUUUCCAAUAUACCGCUCAUAUGUUCCUCCGUUAUUCCAAAAUACUCUUACAGUUACCAUCCGUUAAGUUAACUUGGGUCAAAUAUCUAACAUAGUUAAAAAAAAUUAAAAUAUUAAUUUUGCUCUUAACUUAAGGGCAAAUAAAAAUAUUGGUGACGGUAGAGGGGUAUAUUUAAAAAGACCAAAAGUCAAAAUACUUUUUGUGCCCCUGACUUAAGGGCAAAUAAGAAAAGUUGAUGAUGGUGGAAGGGUACAUUUAAAAUGACAAAAUAAUAAUUUUAUACAGAUAAUAUAGUUUAUUAACAGAUUUUAACUCUAGGGGUAUAUUUGAAAUAUGUUGGAACGUGAAAAAAAUAUUUUUAAUAUUAAUCUCUUAAGAGGGAUAAAUUAAAAAGUCAGAAACUUUUUAAAGGUAUAUAAGCAAUUGCCCCAACAAAAUGAUAAAUAGAGUAACCUGGCCAAAACCGAGGCCUAAAUUUCAUACUUUUUUUUUUACAAUAUAUUUUUUUUAAUGCAUCAAGUGACCGUCAAAAUGAAUGGAUAAAAAUGAAUACAGAGU
RNAcentral lists this long non-coding RNA (619 nucleotides) under Ananas comosus (pineapple). RNAcentral's name for it is "long non-coding RNA (ACOM_LNC015354)". The record is from RNAcentral. Lineage: Eukaryota; Viridiplantae; Streptophyta; Magnoliopsida; Poales; Bromeliaceae.